AAGUCGUAACAAGGUUUCCGUAGGUGAACCUGCGGAAGGAUCAUUAUUGAAUUAAACAUGGUAGAGUUGCUGCUGGCUUUUGUUACAAAGCAUGUGCACAUUCACCAUUAUAUUCACCCCAUGUGCAUCCUUUUAUAGCCCUGGAAUAACUCGAGCCUUUUACAGGUUUUCGGUUUGAGAACUGCUGUGCAAUUUUGCUUGGCUAUUCUUGUGUUUCAGGUCUAUAUAUUACACACUCUACGAAUGUAAUAGAAUGUUCAAAUUAGACCUAUUGUGUCUUUAAACAUAAUACAACUUUCAACAACGGAUCUCUUGGCUCUC
Molecule: unclassified non-coding RNA, 321 nt
Filed under: air metagenome
Description: partial contains small subunit ribosomal RNA, internal transcribed spacer 1, and 5.8S ribosomal RNA
Rfam family: Eukaryotic small subunit ribosomal RNA (bases 1-46)
Source: RNAcentral